This 253-nucleotide ribosomal RNA is filed under the name uncultured bacterium. Its description in RNAcentral is "partial 16S ribosomal RNA". It matches the Rfam family "Bacterial small subunit ribosomal RNA", at positions 524 to 776 of the family's 1533-position model. The record is from RNAcentral.
UACAGAGGGGGCAAGCGUUGUUCGGAAUUACUGGGCGUAAAGGGCGCGUAGGCGGUUUGCUAAGUUGGAUGUGAAAACUCUGGGCUUAACCCAGAGCCUGCAUCCAAAACUGGCAAACUUGAGUACUGGAGGGGAAAGCGGAAUUCCUGGUGUAGCGGUGAAAUGCGUAGAUAUCAGGAGGAACACCGGUGGCGAAGGCGGCUUUCUGGACAGUAACUGACGCUGAGGCGCGAAAGCUAGGGGAGCAAACAGG